Molecule: ribosomal RNA, 1346 nt
Filed under: uncultured bacterium
Lineage: Bacteria
Description: partial 16S ribosomal RNA
Rfam family: Bacterial small subunit ribosomal RNA
Source: RNAcentral
GACGAACGCUGGCGGCGUGCUUAACACAUGCAAGUCGAACGGAAAGGCCCUGCUUUUGUGGGGUGCUCGAGUGGCGAACGGGUGAGUAACACGUGAGUAACCUGCCCUUGACUUUGGGAUAACUUCAGGAAACUGGGGCUAAUACCGGAUAGGAGCUCCUGCUGCAUGGCGGGGGUUGGAAAGUUUCGGCGGUUGGGGAUGGACUCGCGGCUUAUCAGCUUGUUGGUGGGGUAGUGGCUUACCAAGGCUUUGACGGGUAGCCGGCCUGAGAGGGUGACCGGCCACAUUGGGACUGAGAUACGGCCCAGACUCCUACGGGAGGCAGCAGUGGGGAAUAUUGCACAAUGGGCGGAAGCCUGAUGCAGCAACGCCGCGUGCGGGAUGACGGCCUUCGGGUUGUAAACCGCUUUCGCCUGUGACGAAGCGUGAGUGACGGUAAUGGGUAAAGAAGCACCGGCUAACUACGUGCCAGCAGCCGCGGUGAUACGUAGGGUGCGAGCGUUGUCCGGAUUUAUUGGGCGUAAAGGGCUCGUAGGUGGUUGAUCGCGUCGGAAGUGUAAUCUUGGGGCUUAACCCUGAGCGUGCUUUCGAUACGGGUUGACUUGAGGAAGGUAGGGGAGGAUGGAAUUCCUGGUGGAGCGGUGGAAUGCGCAGAUAUCAGGAGGAACACCAGUGGCGAAGGCGGUUCUCUGGGCCUUUCCUGACGCUGAGGAGCGAAAGCGUGGGGAGCGAACAGGCUUAGAUACCCUGGUAGUCCACGCUGUAAACGGUGGGUACUAGGUGUGGGGUCCAUUCCACGGGUUCCGUGCCGUAGCUAACGCUUUAAGUACCCCGCCUGGGGAGUACGGCCGCAAGGCUAAAACUCAAAGGAAUUGACGGGGCCCCGCACAAGCGGCGGAGCAUGCGGAUUAAUUCGAUGCAACGCGUAGAACCUUACCUGGGUUUGACAUGGAUCGGGAGUGCUCAGAGAUGGGUGUGCCUCUUUUGGGGUCGGUUCACAGGUGGUGCAUGGCUGUCGUCAGCUCGUGUCGUGAGAUGUUGGGUUAAGUCCCGCAACGAGCGCAACCCUUGUUCACUGUUGCCAGCACGUUAUGGUGGGGACUCAGUGGAGACCGCCGGGGUCAACUCGGAGGAAGGUGGGGAUGACGUCAAGUCAUCAUGCCCCUUAUGUCCAGGGCUUCACGCAUGCUACAAUGGCUGGUACAGAGAGUGGCGAGCCUGUGAGGGUGAGCGAAUCUCGGAAAGUCGGUCUCAGUUCGGAUUGGGGUCUGCAACUCGACCUCAUGAAGUCGGAGUCGCAAGUAAUCGCAGAUCAGCAACGCUGCGGUGAAUACGUUCCCGGGGCU